GGAGCCACACUGACACCUCUCCUGGCUUCCCCACAGCGGUGUCAGCUUUCGGCAAGAAGUUCACUUCAUUCUGGUGAGAGAACGGCACAAGGAGUUUGGGAAGCGAGUGGAGAUUGAGUCGUUGCAGUGGAAAAACCUAUGAAGAAGCCAAUGAAUUCAGCACGCAGCGCCAGACUCUGAGUAUAACGCUUUUGAAAGCAGGGCGAUCCCUGGAUGCUGGACCAAAAAGCGGCCGAGCAGGGGCCCGGCGGACGCCCUGGGGCAGGUGCCCCCCACGCCAGGCGAGCAGCUCCAGCGCGGCACACGGCAAGCCCCGGCAGCCGCCAUGAGGGGAUGGGCCUGAUACAGACCACUGGGUCGGGCCCUGUGGGUUGGCUGCGGCCCUUUCUCAAGAUUAUACGCAGAGUUGCUCCCUCCGAACCCCAGCUCUGGCCUCUUCAUAGGUUUUUCCCCCCCACAAGCCGAGGGCUGGGCGCCAUGGGCGCCACUCCUCCUUCCCAACCCCAUCCGCCCCGCCGGGGCCGUCCCCGCG
This is an RNA transcript of Manacus vitellinus (golden-collared manakin), 532 nucleotides long. RefSeq lists it as uncharacterized. The record is from RefSeq and is a predicted model, not a curated record. Lineage: Eukaryota; Metazoa; Chordata; Aves; Passeriformes; Pipridae. The transcript is spliced from 3 exons.